Molecule: long non-coding RNA, 214 nt
Filed under: Ananas comosus (pineapple)
Lineage: Eukaryota; Viridiplantae; Streptophyta; Magnoliopsida; Poales; Bromeliaceae
Description: long non-coding RNA (ACOM_LNC006908)
Source: RNAcentral
AACCUCAAUUACAUCAAAACAAAUAACAAAUAAUAAAAAUGCAUAGAACUUAUCUCUAUUAUUACCCAUUUUGAUCUAACUAUCUGAACUUUGAAAAAUUUGAGUUUGCUAAAUAAUCUUUUAAUUUAUUUGAUUUAAGCUAGUUAAUAAGUAUUUAACUUCAAAAUUUGAAUGUGUCACUUAUUUAUCUUUGCAGACUUAAUUAACAUAUUCG